UGAGACCUCACGUCAGGCGGGGCUACCCGCUGAAUUUAAGCAUAUCA
RNAcentral lists this ribosomal RNA (47 nucleotides) under Trigonella foenum-graecum. RNAcentral describes it as "partial 28S ribosomal RNA". Lineage: Eukaryota; Viridiplantae; Streptophyta; Magnoliopsida; Fabales; Fabaceae. The record is from RNAcentral.